Molecule: transfer RNA, 101 nt
Filed under: Actinomycetota bacterium
Lineage: Bacteria; Bacillati; Actinomycetota
Description: tRNA-Ser
Source: RNAcentral
GGAUGUAGUGACGUUAGGCGGCACGAGCCAACACGAAAUCUGACACUGCACCCGCGCUGGCAGUGUGGGGGUCAGGGGUUCGAGUCCCCUCAGCUCCACCA